This 253-nucleotide ribosomal RNA is filed under the name uncultured bacterium. RNAcentral describes it as "partial 16S ribosomal RNA". It matches the Rfam family "Bacterial small subunit ribosomal RNA", at positions 524 to 776 of the family's 1533-position model. The record is from RNAcentral.
UACGAAGGGGGCUAGCGUUGCUCGGAAUCACUGGGCGUAAAGCGCACGUAGGCGGCUUACUAAGUCUGGGGUGAAAUCCUGGAGCUCAACUCCAGAACUGCCUUUGAUACUGGUGAGCUUGAGUCCGGAAGAGGUGAGUGGAACUGCGAGUGUAGAGGUGAAAUUCGUAGAUAUUCGCAAGAACACCAGUGGCGAAGGCGGCUCACUGGCCCGAUACUGACGCUGAGGCACGAAAGCGUGGGGAGCAAACAGG